Molecule: ribosomal RNA, 671 nt
Filed under: uncultured organism
Description: SSU rRNA
Rfam family: Bacterial small subunit ribosomal RNA
Source: RNAcentral
GCUGGCGGCGUGCCUAACACAUGCAAGCCUUGCGAUUCUCUUCGGAGAAGAGCGGCGGACGGGUGAGUAACGCGUGGGUAACCUGCCCUGUACACACGGAUAACAUACCGAAAGGUAUGCUAAUACGAGAUAAUAUGCUUUUAUCGCAUGGUAGAAGUAUCAAAGCUUUUGCGGUACAGGAUGGACCCGCGUCUGAUUAGCUAGUUGGUAAGGUAACGGCUUACCAAGGCGACGAUCAGUAGCCGACCUGAGAGGGUGAUCGGCCACAUUGGAACUGAGACACGGUCCAAACUCCUACGGGAGGCAGCAGUGGGGAAUAUUGCACAAUGGGCGAAAGCCUGAUGCAGCAACGCUGCGUGAGCGAUGAAGGCCUUCGGGUCGUAAAGCUCUGUCCUCAAGGAAGAUAAUGACGGUACUUGAGGAGGAAGCCCCGGCUAACUACGUGCCAGCAGCCGCGGUAAUACGUAGGGGGCUAGCGUUAUCCGGAAUUACUGGGCGUAAAGGGUGCGUAGGUGGUUUCUUAAGUCAGAGGUGAAAGGCUACGGCUCAACCGUAGUAAGCCUUUGAAACUGGGAAACUUGAGUGCAGGCGAGGAGAGUGGAAUUCCUAGUGUAGCGGUGAAAUGCGUAGAUAUUAGGAGGAACACCAGUUGCGAAGGCGGCUCUCUGGAC